Molecule: ribosomal RNA, 307 nt
Filed under: uncultured soil bacterium
Lineage: Bacteria
Description: bacterial SSU rRNA
Rfam family: Bacterial small subunit ribosomal RNA
Source: RNAcentral
AGGACGAACGCUGGCGGCGUGCUUAACACAUGCAAGUCGAACGGUGAAGGAGAGCUUGCUCUCUGGAUCAGUGGCGAACGGGUGAGUAACACGUGAGUAACCUGCCCUUGACUCUGGGAUAAGCGUUGGAAACGACGUCUAAUACCGGAUACGAGUCUUCAGUCGCAGUGGCUAGGAGCUAGGAAAAGACUUCGGUCAAGGGAUGGACUCGCGGCCUAUCAGCUAGUUGGUGAGGUAAUGGCUCACCGAAGGCGACGGACGGGUAGCCGGCCUGAGGAGGGUCGACCGGCCACGACUGGACUGAGAC